UCAGACGAUGCGUCAUGCAUAUCAAUAAGCGGAGGAAAAGAAACUAACAAGGAUUCCCCUAGUAACGGCGAGUGAAGCGGGAAGAGCUCAAAUUUGAAAUCUUAAAGGGUUUCCCUUUACGAAUUGUAGUUUAAAGGAGUGUUUUCUGUUGAGGUUUUGGUAAAAGUUCUUUGGAAUAGGACAUCAUAGAGGGUGAGAAUCCCGUAUUUGACCUUUACUUUCAACUUUGUGAUACACUUUCAAAGAGUCGGAUUGUUUGGGAAUGCAGUCCAAAAUGGGUGGUAAAUUUCAUCUAAAGCUAAAUAUUGGCGAGAGACCGAUAGCGAACAAGUACCGUGAGGGAAAGAUGAAAAGAACUUUGAAAAGAGAGUUAAACAGUACGUGAAAUUGUCAAAAGGGAAGCGUUUGACACCAGUGUUGUUUUUCUGAAAAUCAAUUAAAGAACUGUUUAUGCUAAGCUGUUUAGACUUUAUCAGCUAUCUGUUUAGUUUUGAGCUUUUCUUUAAUGCACUUUUCGGUUAACAAGUCAACAUCAAUUUCUUUUGCUGUAAAAAAGCUUGAGGAAGGUGGCUUGAGAUUCGUCUUAAGUGUUUAUAGCCUCUUGCCUAUGCAGUCGGAGAGAUUGAGGUCUGCAGCGUAGAUCCUUCGGGGCUAAAUGCAUUUGUGCUAAGUUAUAGCAUUUUAUAGACAACUUGUUGACUAUGAUUUGUCUCGUAGCUUACUCGCUUAUGUUAUUUUACCUACGCUUAGGAUGUUGAAUCUGUGCGAGACUAC
RNAcentral lists this ribosomal RNA (774 nucleotides) under uncultured Neocallimastigales. Its description in RNAcentral is "partial large subunit ribosomal RNA". It matches the Rfam family "Eukaryotic large subunit ribosomal RNA", at positions 18 to 644 of the family's 3401-position model. Lineage: Eukaryota; Fungi; Neocallimastigomycota; Neocallimastigomycetes; Neocallimastigales. The record is from RNAcentral.